UGGGGAAUAUUGGACAAUGGGCGAAAGCCUGAUCCAGCCAUGCCGCGUGUGUGAAGAAGGUCUUCGGAUUGUAAAGCACUUUAAGUUGGGAGGAAGGGUUGUAGAUUAAUACUCUGCAAUUUUGACGUUACCGACAGAAUAAGCACCGGCUAACUCUGUGCCAGCAGCCGCGGUAAUACAGAGGGUGCAAGCGUUAAUCGGAAUUACUGGGCGUAAAGCGCGCGUAGGUGGUUUGUUAAGUUGGAUGUGAAAUCCCCGGGCUCAACCUGGGAACUGCAUUCAAAACUGACUGACUAGAGUAAGGUAGAGGGUGGUGGAAUUUCCUGUGUAGCGGUGAAAUGCGUAGAUAUAGGAAGGAACACCAGUGGCGAAGGCGACCACCUGGACUAAUACUGACACUGAGGUGCGAAAGCGUGGGGAGCAAACA
RNAcentral lists this ribosomal RNA (427 nucleotides) under uncultured bacterium. RNAcentral's name for it is "partial 16S ribosomal RNA". It matches the Rfam family "Bacterial small subunit ribosomal RNA", at positions 355 to 774 of the family's 1533-position model. The record is from RNAcentral.